Molecule: long non-coding RNA, 444 nt
Organism: Stomoxys calcitrans (stable fly)
Lineage: Eukaryota; Metazoa; Arthropoda; Insecta; Diptera; Muscidae
Exons: 2
Source: RefSeq, a predicted model, not a curated record
UCCAUUAUAUAACGCAAUUAAAUUCGCUCGCAAUUUGCUCAAAUUAAAAUUAAAAGUGUCUCCGGCAUAAAUAUGAUAAUUAGUAAUAGGUAAUUUCCAAAAGAGGGGUUUGUCAGCGCUAAUCGAAAGUAACUUCUCAUUGCAAAUUGUUUGACUUUUUGCAGAAUAUCAAAUUGAUAGCAAUAACGGAAUAGUCAUUUGCUUUUUUUAGAUGUUUCAACGAAUCCAGAUGAGGAGGUGUCAAUGUCAUUUCUGAUGCGCUGGGAGAGACGGCUUAAUGAGCACCGAGCUAUUUUUUAAUCCACCAACUGGGACAGGUAGCGACUUCAUUUGCAUUGUCAUAUUUAGAGAAUAAUGUCGGAACUGCAUGUCUCCCCCUAUAUCUGCAAAUAUUGAACAAAAACCAUAAAUAAAUAUUAUUUAAAUAACAUUAUUGGGUGGAAA